This 872-nucleotide ribosomal RNA is filed under the name uncultured bacterium. Its description in RNAcentral is "bacterial SSU rRNA". It matches the Rfam family "Bacterial small subunit ribosomal RNA", at positions 28 to 873 of the family's 1533-position model. The record is from RNAcentral.
GAUGAAGGCUGGCUGGGUGGCUGACACAUGCAAUUCGAGCGGAGUUAUACGCUGUGGAGGCCUUCGGGCCGAACCUUGUAUAAUUUAGCGGCGGACGGGUGAGUAACACGUGRAUAAUCUGCCCUUUGCUGCGGGAUACCAGUCGGAAACGAUUGUUAAUACCGCAUAAGCUCACAUCACCGCAUGGUGAAGUGAGAAAAGAUUUAUCGGCAAAGGAUGAGUCCGCGUUAGAUUAGCUAGUUGGUGGGGUAAAGGCCUACCAAGGCUGCGAUCUAUAGCCGACCUGAGAGGGUGAUCGGCCACACUGGGACUGAGACACGGCCCAGACUCCUACGGGAGGCAGCAGUGAGGGAUAUUGCACAAUGGGCGAAAGCCUGAUGCAGCAACGCCGCGUGAAGGAUGAAGGUUUUCGGAUCGUAAACUUCUAUCGAUGGGGACGAAAAAAAUGACGGUACCCAAGUAAGAAGCCCCGGCUAACUACGUGCCAGCAGCCGCGGUAAUACGUAGGGGGCAAGCGUUAUCCGGAAUUACUGGGUGUAAAGGGUGAGUAGCCGGCAGAGCAAGUCACAUGUGAAAUUCCAGGGCUCAACCCUGGGACUGCAUGAGAAACUGCUUUGCUAGAGUACAGGAGAGGUUAGCGGAAUUCCUUGUGUAGCGGUGAAAUGCGUAGAUAUAAGGAAGAACACCAGUGGCGAAGGCGGCUAACUGGACUGAAACUGACGGUGAGUCACGAAAGCGUGGGGAGCGAACAGGAUUAGUUACCCUGGUAGUCCACGCUGUACACGAUGCUAKCUAGSUGUCGGGGUGAGAAUCCUCGGUGCCGACGUUAACACMUUCAGCUAGCCACCUCGCAUCCAGUCGUCCUCUGCUGC